RNAcentral lists this ribosomal RNA (1486 nucleotides) under uncultured bacterium. RNAcentral describes it as "bacterial SSU rRNA". It matches the Rfam family "Bacterial small subunit ribosomal RNA". The record is from RNAcentral.
AACGAACGCUGGCGGCGUGCUUAACACAUGCAAGUCGAACGCGAAAGGGAUUUCGGUCCCGAGUAAAGUGGCGCACGGGUGAGUAACGCGUAGGUAAUCUCCCCUCAUAUUUGGAAUAACACUGCGAAAGUGGUGCUAAUACCGGAUAUAUUUAUUUGGUGCGGGCCGGAUAAAGGAAAGGCAGCCUCUGACAUAAGCAGCCGUAUGAGGAUGAGCCUGCGUCCCAUUAGCUAGUUGGCGGGGUAAAGGCCCACCAAGGCGACGAUGGGUAGCGGGUCUGAGAGGAUGAUCCGCCACACUGGAACUGAAACACGGUCCAGACUCCUACGGGAGGCAGCAGUGAGGAAUAUUGCGCAAUGGGGGCAACCCUGACGCAGCGACGCCGCGUGGGUGAGGAAGGCCUUCGGGUUGUAAAGCCCUGUCGGGUGGGAAGAAGUGUCGUACGGUAAACAGUCGUAUGAUUUGACGGUACCACCAAAGGAAGCACCGGCUAACUCCGUGCCAGCAGCCGCGGUAAUACGGAGGGUGCAAGCGUUGUUCGGAAUUACUGGGCGUAAAGGGCGCGUAGGCGGUUUGACAAGUCAGAUGUGAAAGCCCACGGCUUAACCGUGGAAGUGCAUUUGAAACUGUCAGACUGGAGUAUGUCAGGGGGAGAUGGAAUUCCCGGUGUAGAGGUGAAAUUCGUAGAUAUCGGGAGGAAUACCGGUGGCGAAGGCGAUCUCCUGGGACAAUACUGACGCUGAGGCGCGAAAGCGUGGGGAGCAAACAGGAUUAGAUACCCUGGUAGUCCACGCUGUAAACGAUGAGCACUAGGUGCAGGGGGUAUUGAUCUUCUCUGUGCCGCAGCUAACGCAUUAAGUGCUCCGCCUGGGGAGUACGGCCGCAAGGUUAAAACUCAAAGGUUGACGGGGGCCCGCACAAGCGGUGGAGUAUGUGGUUUAAUUCGAUGCAACGCGAAGAACCUUACCUGGUCUUGACAUCCCGGGAGUCUUGCGGAAACGCGAGAGUGCCUUCGAAAGGAGGAGCCUGGAGACAGGUGCUGCAUGGCUGUCGUCAGCUCGUGUCGUGAGAUGUUGGGUUAAGUCCCGCAACGAGCGCAACCCUUGCCUUUAGUUGCCAGCAGGUAGAGCUGGGCACUCUAGAGGGACUGCCCCGGUGAACGGGGAGGAAGGUGGGGAUGACGUCAAGUCCUCAUGGCCCUUACGACCAGGGCUACACACGUACUACAAUGGCCGGUACAAAGGGCGGCGACCCAGCGAUGGGUAGCAAAUCCAUAAAACCGGUCUCAGUUCGGAUCGGAGUCUGCAACUCGACUCCGUGAAGUUGGAAUCGCUAGUAAUCGUGGAUCAGCAUGCCACGGUGAAUACGUUCCCGGGCCUUGUACACACCGCCCGUCACACCACGAGAGUCGGUUGUACCAGAAGUGGUUGGGCCAACCCGUUUCGGCGGGGGGCAGGCCACCAAGGUAUGGCCGGUAAUUGGGGUG